CCCUUAGAUGUCCUGGGCCGCACGCGCGCUACACUGAGUGUCUGAGAUACGAGUCUGCCUGGUCCGGCAAGGUCUAGGUAAUCGCUAAAAGACACAUCAUGCUUGGGAUAGAUUAUUGCAAAUAUUAAUCUUGAACGAGGAAUUCCUAGUAAGCGCAAGUCAACAGCUUGCGUUGAUUACGUCUCUGCCCUUUGUACACACCGCCCGUCGCUACUACUGAUUGGAUGUUUAAGCGAGGUUCUCGAACUGCUAGCGACUUAGCUUCGGUGAGGUCGCAGUGUGGGAAGUGAACCUAGCUUUGGUGUCUAGAGGAAGUAAAAGUCGUAACA
RNAcentral lists this ribosomal RNA (329 nucleotides) under uncultured eukaryote. RNAcentral's name for it is "partial 18S ribosomal RNA". It matches the Rfam family "Eukaryotic small subunit ribosomal RNA", at positions 1470 to 1796 of the family's 1831-position model. The record is from RNAcentral.